Molecule: ribosomal RNA, 429 nt
Filed under: uncultured archaeon
Lineage: Archaea
Description: bacterial SSU rRNA
Rfam family: Archaeal small subunit ribosomal RNA
Source: RNAcentral
UACCAGCUCUCCGAGUGGUGUGGAUGUUUAUUGGGCCUAAAGCAUCCGUAGCUGGCUGGACAAGUCCCCUGUUAAAUCCACCGAUUUAAUCGUUGGAGUGCGGGGGAUACUGUUCGGCUAGGGGACGGGAGAGGCAGACGGUAUUUUCGGGGUAGGGGUGAAAUCCUAUAAUCCCGGGAAGACCACCAGUGGCGAAGGCUGUCUGCUAGAACGCGCCCGACGGUGAGGGAUGAAAGCUGGGGGAGCGAACCGGAUUAGAUACCCGGGUAGUCCCAGCUGUAAACGAUGCAGGCUAGGUGUUUGGACGGCCACGUGCCGUUCUAGUGCCGCAGGGAAGCCGUUAAGCCUGCCGCCUGGGGAGUACGGCCGCAAGGCUGAAACUUAAAGGAAUUGGCGGGGGAGCACCACAAGGGGUGAAGCUUGCGGUUU